AUGGGCUUCCUGGAGAGAUGGGGCACCCUGGCCCCCCAGAACCACCUGGCCCAGCAAGGCAGCCUGGGCCCCUCACCAAACAGCAGCCCCUGGGGCGCCCUCUACUCCCUGCAACCACCUACAGACAAAGACAGUAAGUGUGGCUUGUGGGGAGCCAGGGGCGUGACAGUAUCUGCUUGCGGGGGCUGCAGCGGGGCCCAGGGUGAUGAGAGGAGCCCCCUGGGCUCCAUGUGGCCUGGCUCAGGGCUCAGUGCCCCCCAGCACUGCCAGCUCUGCCCUACCAGAGCCCUGGCCACUCUGCUCUUCCCACAGAUGGAGACUCAGGACUGGCCUCUGCUAUCGUGGACACAGUGCUGGUGGGUAUCCCAGGACCCCGGGGUCCCCCCGGCCCACCAGGUCCUCCCGGGCCACGAGGUCCCCCAGGACCACCUGGAUCCCAGCAGCCAGGCCUGACAGGGGAGAGACACAGCCCAGCCUGACCAACAUGGAGAAACCCCGUCUCUACUAAAAAUACAAAAUUAGCUGGACAUGGUGGCGCAUGCCUGUAAUCUCAGCUAACUCGGGAGGCUGAGGCAGGAGAAUCGCCUGAACCCAGGAGGCGGAGGUUGCGGUGAGCCGAGAUCAUACCAUUGCACUCCAGCCUGGGUAACCAGAGCAAAACUCUGUCUCAAAAAAAGGAAGAAAAGAAAAAGAAAGGGGAAAGACACUCCAGCCUUCACCCCACCUCCUGCCCCCCGCCCCAGGAGCAAGAGCACCUGACAGUCCUCCAAGUCCCCUGCACUGGCCGUCCCGGUCCCCUUCCAUCACGUGACCUGGCAGCUACAGUCUCCUUGCUCCUCCCCAGAGCCCCUAACCUUGGCUGUGGCCCAUCAGCUUCUCCAGGGAUGCCAGCAUCCAGGGCAGGAAUUGGAACCCGUCCCUCCUCCUGGGGAUUCUGGGGGUCGGGAGACUGGGGUCCACCCUUCAUUGCUGUGUGAUCUGAGCCAGCAGCCCCGGCUCUCUUUGCCUCCAUAAAGCUCAGUCGGGGUCGAGGCAGCGCUGUUGGGAGAAUAAACUGGUCUGAAGGAUGAGGCACCACGUGCGGCCCCGGCCUCACUGUCCAUUUGCUAAGUGAUCUCAGGCAAGUCACUUGCCAUCUCUGAGCCUCUGUCUCCACCUCAUUUGUGAUGUCUCCGCAGUGACCCUCCCGGUUUCAUGGGCCCUUCUAAAGACCAGAAAGGGGAGGGGCUGAAAUAAUUGGCCCUGGGUAGUCAAGAUGGCCUGGGCCAGCCAUCCAGGUCAUCAGAGGGCCGUGUCCUGCAGGGAGGUGGGGGGAGAGCCCCUUCUGCAGCCCAUAGAGGACCUGAGCCCAGGGGGCCUGGCCAGGAGCCUGGAUGCAGGGUCAGAGCCCUGAGCAGCAGAGUGUGCCCUGGGGACGCACCCGCUGGGGAGGAGCCCAGAGCAGGCCACUUUGUCCCCAGAUCCCAGGACUGACCCCCAGGCCCAGGGGCACUGUAGAACUGCUGAAGGGGCUACUCAGGGAGACCAUCUGCCUGUGCACCAUGGUCCCUCAGCCCAGCCCAGGGAGUCCCUGACGCCCCUCGGCCCUGGGGCCCACCCAGGUUCCCAGCAGGAAUCUCCACCCACCCUGAGCCCAUUUCAGGCACACAGCACCCCCUGCCUGCCUCUUUGGGGGCAGCAGGGACUCAGGGGGCCUGAGUACUGGCUUUCAGGGGGUUUAAAGGAAGGAGAAAGUCUCCGGGUCCCAGGCUGUGGGUCUCUGCUGCCUUUAACUCCUUGGUCCCUCAAGGAGAAACAGACAGGGCCACCUGUAGGCUGGUCCCAAGCAACCGUGUCUACUUUUGUUUUUCUGGAAAACCUUCUAAAGAUCACGUGCCAUAAAGGAUAUAUUUAUACCCACCCUUCCUCUCUCCUCUCUCCCUUUCUUCCCUUCCAUUCUCUCUCUCUCCCUAAUAGAUAUAGAGUCUUCUUGAUCUGUUGCCCAGGCUGGAGCGCAGUGGCAUGAUCAUAACUCACUAUAGCCUUCAACUCCUGAGCUCAGCCUCCUGAGUAACUGGGACUGCAGGCCUGUGCCACCACACUUGGCUAAUUUUCCUUAUUUUUUGUAGAGAUGAGGGUCUCGCUGUAUUGCCCAGGCUGGUCUCAAACUCCUGGCCUCAAGUGAGUCUCCUGACUCAGCCUCCCAAAGUGCUGGGAUGACAGGCGUGAGCCACCGCUUCUGGCCAGCACAGGGACUUUGAAGGUGUCUGAAGGACACUGCUUGAACCUUAGGGCCCAGGAGGACUUUCCUGAUGUGAGGAGGAGGAUAGGGCUGGGAGGGAGAGCACCCCAGUGCGGGUGACGUGCUCCCACUAAGGAGUGUGAUGGGGCACACGCAGAAUGGACAGCUGCAGUUCUCAUGGGGUGCACAUGCGUGUCCCCCCCGCCCCAGCCCGACUGGGACCUGACUGUCUGCCUCGUUCAACCCAGGUCCUCCUGCUAGAAGCAGCAGAACGGCCCUUGAGCCCAGACAAUGACCUGCCAGCCCCCCAGAGCACGUGUCCCCCCCGCCCCACCCCAACUGGGACCUGACUGUCUGCCUCGUUCAACCCAGGUCCUCCUGCUAGAAGCAGCAGAACGGCCCUUGAGCCCAGACAAUGACCUGCCAGCCCCCCAGAGCACCCCGCUGCCCUGGAACGAGUACUUCCUCCCUGACGCCAUCCCUCUCGCUCACCCGCGGCCACGACAGAGAAGGCCCACGGGCCCAGCUGGUGAGUGAGGGCUUCAGAGAGGACAGGCUGGAGCAGCCAAAGGGACCUCGGGCAUGGCCUCCCGAGGAAGGCCACACACGCAGCUCUCUGGUUCCUACAUGCCACGUGGCAUUUUGAAAAAUUAAGCUUAACUGUUGGAAACUGGGAAAUUUCACCUAAAAGCCAGGAAUUUUAGUUUCUUUUAAAAAGUAGGCCAUCUGGCCAGGCGCAGUGACUCACACCUGUAAUCCCAGCACUUUGGGAGGCUGAGAUGGGUGGAUCACCUGAGGUCAGGAAUUCGAGACCAGCCUGGCCAACAUGGUGAAACCCCGUCUCUACUAAAAAUACAAAAAUUAGCUGGGAGUGGUUGUGCACGCCUAGAAUCCCAGCUACUUGGGAGGCUGAGACAGGAGAAUCGCUUGUACCCCGGGAGGUGGAGGAUCCAGUGAUCUGAGAUUGCACCAUUGCACUCCAGUCUGGGGUACAAGAGUGAAACUCCAUCUAAAAAAAAAAAAAAAAGAAAAGGAAAGUAGAUUGUCUGGAGGGGAGUAAUGGCUCACACCUGUAAUCCCAGCACUUUGGGAGGUUAAGGCGGGCAGAUCACUUGACGUCAGGAGUUCAAGACCAGCCUAGGCAACGUGGCAAAAGUCCUGUUUCUACUGAAAAUACAAAAAUUAGCCCGGCACGGUGGUGCAUGCCUGUAAUCCCAGCUACUCCUGUGGCUGAGGCAUGAGAAUUGCUUGAGCUGGGGAGGUGGAGGUUGUAGUGAGACCCAAGACCGUGCCACUACCCUCCAGCCUGGGCGACAGGAGUGAAACUCUGUCUCAAAAAAAGAAAAAGUAGAUGAUCUUGGCCAGGUGCAGUGGCUCACACCUAUAAUUUCAGCAGUUUGGGAGGCUGAGGUGGGAGGAUUACUUGAAGCCAGGAGAUCGAGACCAGCCUGGGCAACAUAGUGAGAUCCUAUCUCUACAAAAAAAAAUUAUAAAAAUAAAAACGAGAGAAUUGGCCCUCAGGACUGGCCGUCCCGCAUGGAAACAAUCAUCUACUGUGGAGUCACAGUUGCCACUGCCGGUCCGGUCCAGGCCGUGCAGUUUGCCACAGUCCCCACCAUUCCCUAUUGUCUUACCUCUCAGCUACUGUCUUUACUCUCAGAUACUCAGGUGUCUGCCCUGCCCCUUGGCUUCUGCACUUAGGAUCCCCAGCCCAGCCUUCUGGGUUUAAUUUUACAGUAUUCUGCCUGGCCAGGGAGCGGGAACUUACUGCCUCCCACCUCUUUCUGGAGUUUGCUGUCUGAACACUCUGGCUAGAAUUGGAGGACAUCUGCCACUCUGCCUUUCUGCCACACUUUUACAAUUUAAUGUAAUUUAAUUUAAUUUUGAGACAAUGUCUUGUGAGGGAUCUGUGGGGAUCUCUCCCAUGUGAGGCCCCUGGGAAAUGGGCCUCGCCAUACGGUGAGCUUGAGCCUGGACACAGAUCCCUGGUUGGGGGAGUCGAGCUGAGGGAAAGCAGGAACCGAGAGAGGGACUAUGUUAUUCAAAAUAGUUAACAGACAUUACUUUAUGAAUAUGAGGACUUGGGAGGCAUUGUGUCUACUUUUGGCUCCUUAUGGUUUAUUGUCUCAUUGUGUUCAUUUUGGACCAGUGUUACCUUCAUUGCAAUAUAUUAACUUAAAUAUUUACACUUGGUAACUUACUUACCGUAACUUACAGGGCGUAACUGUAACUUAUUUACCUUAAUUUACAGGGCGUAACUGUAACUUAUUUACCAUAGCUUGCAGGGCGUGAUUGUAAUUUACUUACUUUGACCUAUUGGGCGUAACGUACUUAAUGGGAUUAACUUACUUACUGGGCGUAACUUGCUUACUGUAAUUUAAGUAUGUUGAUCUGGCGUAAACAACUUUAACUUCAGAAAAGUAUAUAAUGAAACACAUUGCAAAAAUAAAAUUGCUGCAUGAGCAUAGCGCAUGUAGCCCUCCAGACCUUGCCUUUUCUAUCUCCUUUUUUUCUGGCACACGCUCUCUUGCAGGUUUGGGACCCUCUCGCUGGACGAGAUUCCCGGGCUCGCGUUCAGUUCACAACAGUCUUGCUCUGUCACUGAGGCUGGAGUGCAGUGGUGCGAUCAUAGCUCACUGCAACCUCCAUCUCCCAGGCUCAGGUGAUCCUCCCACCUUAGCCUCCCAAGUAGUUGGGACUAUGAAUACACACCACCACACCUGGCUUUUAAAAAAAUUUUUAGUAGAGAUGAGGUCUCACUAUUUUGCCCAGGUUGGUCUCAAAUUCCUGGCUUUAAGCAGUCCUCCUGCCUCGACCUCCC
Molecule: long non-coding RNA, 5042 nt
Filed under: Callithrix jacchus (white-tufted-ear marmoset)
Lineage: Eukaryota; Metazoa; Chordata; Mammalia; Primates; Cebidae
Description: lncRNA (ENSCJAG00000082229.1)
Source: RNAcentral